Molecule: ribosomal RNA, 497 nt
Filed under: uncultured bacterium
Lineage: Bacteria
Description: partial 16S ribosomal RNA
Rfam family: Bacterial small subunit ribosomal RNA
Source: RNAcentral
GACGAACGCUGGCGGCGUGCCUAAUACAUGCAAGUUGAGCGCUGAAGGUUGGUACUUGUACCAACUGGAUGAGCAGCGAACGGGUGAGUAACGCGUGGGGAAUCUGCCUUUGAGCGGGGGACAACAUUUGGAAACGAAUGCUAAUACCGCAUAAAAACUUUAAACACAAGUUUUAAGUUUGAAAGAUGCAAUUGCAUCACUCAAAGAUGAUCCCGCGUUGUAUUAGCUAGUUGGUGAGGUAAAGGCUCACCAAGGCGAUGAUACAUAGCCGACCUGAGAGGGUGAUCGGCCACAUUGGGCCUGAGACACGGCCCAAACUCCUACGGGAGGCAGCAGUAGGGAAUCUUCGGCAAUGGACGAAAGUCUGACCGAGCAACGCCGCGUGAGUGAAGAAGGUUUUCGGAUCGUAAAACUCUGUUGGUAGAGAAGAACGUUGGUGAGAGUGGAAAGCUCAUCAAGUGACGGUAACUACCCAGAAAGGGACGGCUAACUACGUG